RNAcentral lists this transfer RNA (83 nucleotides) under Pseudomonas aeruginosa. RNAcentral describes it as "tRNA-Pro". The record is from RNAcentral. Lineage: Bacteria; Pseudomonadati; Pseudomonadota; Gammaproteobacteria; Pseudomonadales; Pseudomonadaceae.
CGGCGUUGUCCCGCACCACGCUGGCACCCUGGCCUUGCAUGGGGUGCAAGGGGUCGAGUGUUCGAAUCACUCCGUCCCGACCA